RNAcentral lists this long non-coding RNA (1330 nucleotides) under Mus musculus (house mouse). Its description in RNAcentral is "Mir100 Mirlet7a-2 Mir125b-1 cluster host gene". Lineage: Eukaryota; Metazoa; Chordata; Mammalia; Rodentia; Muridae. The record is from RNAcentral.
CCUAUUGAACACCUCGCCCAGCCUAGAGCUCACAUUCUCCCCCUGCUCCCGAUGGCGCUCCUGGAAGCUCUGCAACUAUGCUCCACUUCAAAUGGUGAGUAUUCACUAGAGAGAUGUUCAAGGUCCACUCAGAGCCUCAUGGCUGCAUUUGAAGUCACCCGACAUGUGCCUUGGCUUAUUCCAAGUGGAGCCACAACUUAAUUUCAAAAGCAGAAUUCAUGUAAAUGCAUCGAAUUCUGCACAUGCACCAGGAAUGUAUGAUUUUUAUUUUACAAACCCCAAAGGCUCCUCCUUCCGGGCCCACCCCUUUUUUCUGAAACCACUUAUGAGCAGAACAAAGGAAUGUACUAACUGUGGAGGCAGCAUUACAUGUGAGCAGUCACUGCACUGUGAAGUGUGCGCUACGACAACAUAUUUCAUCGUACAGAAGUGCGGAUAAUUAAAUAAUGCCACAGCAACCCUGACUCAUUAGCAGAAAGAUCUUUAAGGAGGAAUCAAGAAGAUGGAUCCAAUCAACUUGGAGAGUACUCUUCCUUCUCUGAGAUCUCAAAUAUAUUUUAGUUGGUUGGUGAUUGAUUCAUGCAGGGCUCGAGGACAAAAGCCAGUUUCUCAAAGCCGAAUGCGGAUCUUUUUUAGACGAACAAACUGUAUGUCUUAGAUGAGUUGGAUUUAACAUAAGGCUUAAUGUUUGGAGUCAAAGGUAGAGCGUGCCACCUUGAUGCUCAUUUCCCCUUUUAUCCAUAGAUCUAAGAAAUGCCCAACCCUUAACCUUUCAGUUGGCUUCCUCAACAUGCAUGUAGCCUCUCCUACAUUUUCUAAUGACGGAUGUUCAAGUUCCUUAUUGCUUGAACCAAGUAAGUAUCAUCGUCACAGAAAUAAGCAACUGUACUCAGUGUCUUCCAGGGUCUCCCCCUACUCCAUUUCCUUUGUCUAGGUGCUAUUCUCAGUUUUCAGUGUCCAUUGGUCCUUUAAGGGGGAGCUCCAGGUUUAACUUGAGGGCUAUAAGCAUUGGAAGAAUAAUUCCCAUUGGAUACUGUACAGAGAAGCCACCUGCAAAAUGUUGACGCUGUUAUUGAAGUCUCAAGUGGAGUCAGCUUUCAAAAAAUUAGAUAUUAGAUACAUCCGGCAUAAUUUGCAAUCUGUAAUUAUACUAAUGUGCAUAUAGCUGUGCUUUGCUUUAUCUGUAGCCUACUUGAGUGUGUCCCCAUCACCCCCCAUCCUCGGGCAUGUCUCAUGCUUGGAAUUGCUUGGGAGGAGAGUGCUUUGUAAGUCAGCUUAGGGUUUUUUUUUUAAUUCCUUGUUAAUUAAUACAAGAAUAAAAGGACUUUGC